UAUUAGAGGCAUUGCCUGCCCAGUGACUAAAGUUAAACGGCCGCGGUAUCCUGACCGUGCAAAGGUAGCAUAAUCACUUGUUCCUUAAUUAGGGACUAGAAUGAAUGGCUAAACGAGGGUUCAACUGUCUCUUACUUUCAAUCAGUGAAAUUGACCUUCCAGUGAAGAGGCUGGAAUACUACAAUAAGACGAGAAGACCCUAUGGAGCUUUAAUUUACUAGUUUAAUUUAUACAGUAACAACCUAAUGGACCAAAACAAAAUAAAUAUAAACUAAAAAUUUCGGUUGGGGUGACCUCGGAGAAUAAAAAAUCCUCCGAAUGAUUUUAACCUAGACCCACAAGUCAAAGUAAUAUUAAUAUCUUAUUGACCCAAUUAUUGAUCAACGGACCAAGUUACCCUAGGGAUAACAGCGCAAUCCUAUUUAAGAGUUCAUAUCGACAAUUAGGGUUUACGACCUCGAUGUUGGAUCAGGACAUCCCAAUGGUGCAGAAGCUAUUAAUGGUUCGUUUGUUCAACGAUUAAAGUCCUACGUGAUCUGAGU
Molecule: ribosomal RNA, 542 nt
Filed under: Rattus rattus alexandrinus
Lineage: Eukaryota; Metazoa; Chordata; Mammalia; Rodentia; Muridae
Also listed under: 1 other name
Description: partial 16S ribosomal RNA
Rfam family: Bacterial large subunit ribosomal RNA
Source: RNAcentral